This is a long non-coding RNA of Mastomys coucha (southern multimammate mouse), 429 nucleotides long. RefSeq lists it as uncharacterized. The record is from RefSeq and is a predicted model, not a curated record. The transcript has 2 exons. NCBI's taxonomy places the organism in Eukaryota, Metazoa, Chordata, Mammalia, Rodentia, Muridae.
AAGGCAGUCGGUUGCCAGGCAACAAGGAAGCGGCUCUCCGCUCCCAAUCAACUGCCAGCUUUUGACUGAAAGUGGGAAAAGGAGAUGCACAUGGGUUGAGUCGUCCUUCGGUUAGGCAGACGGGACAAUGGAACCAAGUAAAACAGGAGGAAGAAGCCAGCCAGCCACUGUGCGCUGCUCUAUCUUCCCCAGAAAGUGCGUUUCUGACCUUCUUGCACAUCAGACUCUAGCUUUAGACUGAAUGUGGCUGGAUCGUCCAUCCCUCUCGUGACGAGUCUUCUGGCUUUUUGCAUUUGAGCAUUUGCUGGCUCUUCAGUGUGCAGCCAGCCAUUUGUGGAUUAUCUGACUUCUGAUGAUGCAAGGCAAUGCAAUGAAUGCCCCCUUCAAAUAUCAUGUACACUUUGCUUCAAUUUGAUCCCUCUCAGCCAC